Non-coding RNA from Anopheles gambiae (African malaria mosquito), 154 nucleotides. NCBI's taxonomy places the organism in Eukaryota, Metazoa, Arthropoda, Insecta, Diptera, Culicidae. The record is from Rfam.
ACCCAUGACGGGCAUGUUGUUAAGUCGUACGAGUUGACGACUGUACCACAAGACCGGCUACAGAACGGUAACAUGUCUCUCAAUUAUCCAAGCUUGGGUAUACGGGGAAACCCAACCCCUUGGGCGGAUGGGUUGCAUGGCUAAAUUGAGAGGG